GAAUCAUCUGAACCAUAUGCCACUGACUCAGAAUCAAGUUGCGAUAGCAAUAAUACUGCAGUUAAACGUAAACGUAGCACAUCUCCAUAUGGAAAGACAAAACGGCGACGUUGGAGCAAUGAAGAACAAGAAAUAGUAAUGAAAUUAUUUGGAAAAUAUAUCAAAUCACCACAUUUGCCUUCAAC
Formica exsecta is the source of this 185-nucleotide long non-coding RNA. RefSeq lists it as uncharacterized. NCBI's taxonomy places the organism in Eukaryota, Metazoa, Arthropoda, Insecta, Hymenoptera, Formicidae. The transcript has 2 exons. The record is from RefSeq and is a predicted model, not a curated record.